GAAUAUUGGACAAUGGGGGCAACCCUGAUCCAGCCAUGCCGCGUGUGUGAAGAAGGCUUUCGGGUUGUAAACCACUUUCAGCGAGGAGGAAGGCCUUAAAGUUAAUACCUUUGAGGAUUGACGUUACUCGCAGAAGAAGCACCGGCUAACUCCGUGCCAGCCGCCGCGGUAAUACGGAGGGUGCAAGCGUUAAUCGGAAUUACUGGGCGUAAAGCGCGCGUAGGUGGUUUGAUAAGCGAGAUGUGAAAGCCCCGGGCUUAACCUGGGAACGGCAUUUCGAACUGUCAGACUAGAGUGUGGUAGAGGGUAGUGGAAUUUCCUGUGUAGCGGUGAAAUGCGUAGAUAUAGGAAGGAACACCAGUGGCGAAGGCGGCUACCUGGACCAACACUGACACUGAGGUGCGAAAGCGUGGGGAGCAAACAGG
RNAcentral lists this ribosomal RNA (425 nucleotides) under uncultured bacterium. RNAcentral describes it as "bacterial SSU rRNA". It matches the Rfam family "Bacterial small subunit ribosomal RNA", at positions 359 to 776 of the family's 1533-position model. The record is from RNAcentral.